CAACAGGAAUACCCCUCCACCAACGUAUAGGCUGCAACGGAAGUGAUAAUCGUUGUUAAGCAUCCGCUUUCAACCACUCGGCCACGCCCAGCGACCCAAGUCAACAGAAACGCAACCAACCAUUAUCUUUUCCUGAAAAACCUCCCCUCACAAUCCUCGCCCGAUCGAAAAGGAUCGUGAUCCCAGAUCGCUGCCGUGUCAAUGCUGCGCCGCCCCGGCCCGAGCACCGCCGCCUCGUCCCUGCCCUGACCCCGCCGCAUCCUCCAGUUCUGCCGUCGACGCUGCGCCGCCUCGACCCGCAUGUCGCCGCUUUAUCCUCUCCCGUGCUGCGCCGACGGCUGACCGGCACGCCGCCGCCUCAUUGCCCCGAUCGCGAUGGCCCCUGAAUCCCCUGACCCUGUUGCCUGGACCGCCACAUCGUGCUCCAUCUCGUCCGCUGCUGUUCUCAGCUGAUCUGGUUGAUCCCUAGUGACUUAGUUAUUAGUUAUUGAUCAUGCCCCAAGUUUCUCGAUGGAAUUGCAAUGUAAGCUAAGUGAUUAGUGAAUCUUGUGGCUAUUUUUCUGCUCUGGUAUGUGGUAAUGACAUGAACCAUGCCUUUUUUAUUAACUUUAUCAUUAUACAGUGCAGAGUAACCAUAAAAAGAUAUAAAGUUCAUAGCUCAGAUUGUCGACUUUUUUUAAUUAGUUUAAGUUAUGUUUUGCCAAUUACUACCUGCUACCAGAUACAUAAAUUUAACAUGUGGACAGUUGUUUGUUGCUGUUCUAUCAUCUAAAAGAUGAGUGUAUUCAUGCCACAGAAAUAUUCUGCUUUUCUUAUGUCCAAGUUCCAUUUAUUUCAGUGUGAAGAAUUAUUAGCAGAGAAUUCUUAACCAGGGAUGGUUCCAAAGAUGCUUGGCACAAAAAUUUAGCCAUUGGUGAAAGCAAAUAAUUUGAUCCAAAGAGUAACUCUGGCUGUUAAGUGACAAAUUGAGAUCUCAUUCUGCUACAUGAACAAUGGGAAAGCCAACCCAUACUUCGGAUUUUUUCCAAGCUGUAAUGGGAUGUUAAAUGUUCAUUGCCAUUACAUAUCUUUUCCUGUAAUCCAGUGACAUCUAUUUUAUGGUGAAGUGUUGCCUUGAGGAUGAUGGGAUAGAGGAAGAAGAAAUUGCUAAGGAGAAGAUAUUGUUGUUGCUGCCAAGUGCCCAAGUUACAGAAACUAAUGUUGAUCUGGUCACAGAGAAAAUUCAAGAUGAUGUUUUUUUUUUUGCAAGAUUCAACAUAUGUUUGUACUACACUCACUAAUAUGCUGUGGUGUAUACACAAGUUGUACUUAUAAGAGAUUUGUGAAUUAAUAUAUUGUGAUUUUUUUCUUAUAGUACUUAUGAGUUUUUCUUGUCCAAAUGGAACCUAUAUAAGAUCGUAGUGUAAAUUAUUAAUUACAAAUUGGCAAGUAAGUAAUAUGUAUUUGGUAAAUGUGAA
This is a non-coding RNA of Oryza sativa Japonica Group (Japanese rice), 1457 nucleotides long. The record is from RefSeq and is a predicted model, not a curated record. Lineage: Eukaryota; Viridiplantae; Streptophyta; Magnoliopsida; Poales; Poaceae.